AGAGUUUGAUCCUGGCUCAGGACGAACGCUGGCGGCGUGCUUAACACAUGCAAGUCGAACGGAAAGGCCCCUUCGGGGGUACUCGAGUGGCGAACGGGUGAGUAACACGUGGGUGAUCUGCCCUGCACUUUGGGAUAAGCCUGGGAAACUGGGUCUAAUACCGAAUAGGACCGCAUGCUUCAUGGUGUGUGGUGGAAAGCUUUUGCGGUGUGGGAUGGGCCCGCGGCCUAUCAGCUUGUUGGUGGGGUAAUGGCCUACCAAGGCGACGACGGGUAGCCGGCCUGAGAGGGUGUCCGGCCACACUGGGACUGAGAUACGGCCCAGACUCCUACGGGAGGCAGCAGUGGGGAAUAUUGCACAAUGGGCGCAAGCCUGAUGCAGCGACGCCGCGUGGGGGACGACGGCCUUCGGGUUGUAAACCUCUUUCAGUAUCGGCGAAGCUCCAGGAUUUUUCUUGGGGUGACGGUAGGUACAGAAGAAGCACCGGCCAACUACGUGCCAGCAGCCGCGGUAAUACGUAGGGUGCGAGCGUUGUCCGGAAUUACUGGGCGUAAAGAGCUCGUAGGUGGUUUGUCACGUUGUCCGUGAAAACUCACAGCUUAACUGUGGGCGUGCGGGCGAUACGGGCAGACUGGAGUACUGUAGGGGAGACUGGAAUUCCUGGUGUAGCGGUGGAAUGCGCAGAUAUCAGGAGGAACACCGGUGGCGAAGGCGGGUCUCUGGGCAGUAACUGACGCUGAGGAGCGAAAGCGUGGGGAGCGAACAGGAUUAGAUACCCUGGUAGUCCAA
RNAcentral lists this ribosomal RNA (789 nucleotides) under uncultured bacterium. RNAcentral's name for it is "bacterial SSU rRNA". It matches the Rfam family "Bacterial small subunit ribosomal RNA", at positions 8 to 798 of the family's 1533-position model. The record is from RNAcentral.